ACCCAGCCCCGACUCAGCUGGUAGAGCAGGAGACUCUUAAUCUCAGGGUCGAGGGUUCAAGCACCACGUUGGGCA
Podarcis lilfordi (Lilford's wall lizard) is the source of this 75-nucleotide non-coding RNA. The record is from the annotation of a GenBank genome assembly. NCBI's taxonomy places the organism in Eukaryota, Metazoa, Chordata, Lepidosauria, Squamata, Lacertidae.